AGAGUUUGAUCAUGGCUCAGGAUGAACGCUAGCUACAGGCUUAACACAUGCAAGUCGAGGGGAAACGACAUCGAAAGCUUGCUUUUGAUGGGCGUCGACCGGCGCACGGGUGAGUAACGCGUAUCCAACCUGCCCAUCACUUGGGGAUAACCUUGCGAAAGUAAGACUAAUACCCAAUGACGUCUCUAGAAGACAUCUGAAAGAGAUUAAAGAUUUAUCGGUGAUGGAUGGGGAUGCGUCUGAUUAGCUUGUUGGCGGGGUAACGCCACAAGGCGACGAUCGAGUAGGGGUUCUGAGAGGAAGGUCCCCCANAUUGGAACUGAGACACGGUCCAAACUCCUACGGGAGGCA
Molecule: ribosomal RNA, 351 nt
Filed under: uncultured bacterium
Lineage: Bacteria
Description: bacterial SSU rRNA
Rfam family: Bacterial small subunit ribosomal RNA
Source: RNAcentral